GCCCCUUCCCCUCCAGCUCUUCCUCUCGGGUCCCAACCCUGGGCUAGGGUUCCAUACGCUGCCGCCUUUGGGCAGACCACGUAAACUGACGUCGAUGUCCGAGAGGAGCGGGCCGCCGCACCGUCUUUCGCCUCCACCGACCUUCGAGGCACCCUACCCGUGGGACGACACCGCCGCCGCCUUGCGGAACUUCAGGGCAGGGCAGGGCGUGGUCGCGUUGCGGGCAACGAGGAGCGGCGCCGGCGCGUGCGUAGCCACUUAGCGAGAGAGGAAGGGAGUGUCGGUUGUCCUGAUACCCCAGCUCCGAUUGUCCUGCCUGGCUGCCUCCCGAAGCCCCCAAAAGAUCCAUCCACAUCCAGUACUGUAGCCACAACAAGUUUCUUCAGAUUGCAUUGCAAUUUCUUUACAAGAAUACCCAGGAGCAAAUUCCUGGCUCCGCCACUGAAUGGCGCCCGUGCCUUCGAGUCCCUCGGCAUUCGUGGGGGUGUUCGCAGCGUCGGGCUUGGUCAACGAGUUGAUGGGGUCUUCCCGCGUGACGCACCUCCUGUAGAAGUUGGUGUUCAAGGACACGGGGCACCGGAGCCACUUGCAGAUCACGCGGGAGGUGGAGGCCAUGGGGGGCAACAUCGGCGCCUCCGCGUCCAGGUAGCACUUGGUGCACAGCUACGACAUGCUGUCCAGGCAUACAUACCGCUGGCCGUGCGUUGAACAUGCUUCUUUGAUGAUAAGUAACAGACUUCUUCCUCCAAUGGCUGAAACAAGCUUUGUGAUUUACUCCUCUAAUUCUCUUUUGACAUGCUGAUUAAUUCCUCGCAAUUUUCUAGAGUAAAUCCAUUCUUACAUAUAAAUUAGUACGCUUCAUACUUGAUCUAUAUAUAUGAUCUAU
Triticum dicoccoides is the source of this 886-nucleotide long non-coding RNA. RefSeq lists it as uncharacterized. The transcript has 3 exons. The record is from RefSeq and is a predicted model, not a curated record. Lineage: Eukaryota; Viridiplantae; Streptophyta; Magnoliopsida; Poales; Poaceae.